Molecule: transfer RNA, 61 nt
Filed under: Donacia flemola
Lineage: Eukaryota; Metazoa; Arthropoda; Insecta; Coleoptera; Chrysomelidae
Description: tRNA-Ile
Source: RNAcentral
UGUAAAGUGCCUGAAAAAGGAUAAUUUUGAUAGAAUUAAUCAUGUGUUUACACCUUUACAU